UUGAACGCUGGCGGCAGGCCUAACACAUGCAAGUCGAACGGUAACAGGAAGCAGCUUGCUGCUUUGCUGACGCGUGGCGGACGGGUGAGUAAUGUCUGGGAAACUGCCCGAUGGAGGGGGAUAACUACUGGAAACGGUAGCUAAUACCGCAUAACGUCGCAAGACCAAAGAGGGGGACCUUAGGGCCUCUUGCCAUCGGAUGUGCCCAGAUGGGAUUAGCUAGUAGGUGGGGUAACGGCUCACCUAGGCGACGAUCCCUAGCUGGUCUGAGAGGAUGACCAGCCACACUGGAACUGAGACACGGUCCAGACUCCUACGGGAGGCAGCAGUGGGGAAUAUUGCACAAUGGGCGCAAGCCUGAUGCAGCCAUGCCGCGUGUAUGAAGAAGGCCUUCGGGUUGUAAAGUACUUUCAGCGGGGAGGAAGGGAGUAAAGUUAAUACCUUUGCUCAUUGACGUUACCCGCAGAAGAUGCACCGGCUAACUCCGUG
RNAcentral lists this ribosomal RNA (489 nucleotides) under uncultured bacterium. RNAcentral's name for it is "partial 16S ribosomal RNA". It matches the Rfam family "Bacterial small subunit ribosomal RNA", at positions 30 to 507 of the family's 1533-position model. The record is from RNAcentral.